Molecule: long non-coding RNA, 2126 nt
Filed under: Orbicella faveolata
Lineage: Eukaryota; Metazoa; Cnidaria; Anthozoa; Scleractinia; Merulinidae
Description: uncharacterized LOC110051774, transcript variant X1
Source: RNAcentral
UCAUACAAAAUGAACGGUCCCUAAGUAAUAGGUGGUUUAGUGGUUCCAAACUGCCAACAAAAGGUAUCAAAACAGUUUGCAUUUUUUUAAAUUUCAUCUAGUGCUUUCUCAAAGUUAUGGAGCCAUAAAUGCAUUUAUAAGCAAAAAGAAUGCUUCAUUCAUAACCACUACAUGUAUUGUCUCAUUUGAUGAGUAACAGCUAAAAACUGAGGGGAACUUUUUACAAAAUUUACCUUCAGCGAGAGAUGGGGUCUUACUUGAAUGCGGAAGCUUAAUGCUGUGUAUCCUCCCGUAUAGCUGUUUUUUUGUUUUAUUUUCAUACAGAAUGUUGUUGAUAUAACCAUAAGCCCUAUCAAAAAACAGCUUGAUCUUCAUGUCGGCAGUGAUGCUGGCCUGAAGGAGGAUUGCAAGGUUAUUUUUGUUGUUCUUGUUGUUGUUGUUCACAUGUUUGGGUUGCCUGUACACUUCUUAUCUUUCAUGAGUUAUUUUAUUUACACUUUGAAAGUAACAAGAGUGCAGUGUUAAAACAAUGAAUAAAUAAUUCCCCCUAGGAUUUAGAGAACAGAGAUAGUGAUUGCAGUCUCACGGAAACACCUUAUUGGCUGCAGGGUGCAAAAAGGGGAAAUGUAAAAGUAGAGUUAUGACACUCAGAUGAGUCAUCAGAUGACUUCACAAAUGAAUGCAAAAAAUGUGCAAAGACCUUUUCAACCAGGUGUAAUCUGUUAAAACCCAUACGGCUUGGGAGGUGCUAGGGAAACCACAAAGAAGUCCAGCGUCAAUCAAAGAAUAGACAGCCAUUGACUGAAGUGAUAUGGAAGUCCAUGAAUGGAUGGGUAUUUGCAACAGGCACAAUGCCCUAGAGUGACAUGAGGUGGCCUAUGGUUAGUGGGCUGGACUCCAAUCCGAGCCAUCUUGGUUCAAGCCCUAUUCCUAUGUACUUCAUGCUACAGAAACUUGGACAAGCUCUUGCCUCAUGGCCACUAGGAUAGUACAUAAAUGUGUUAGCUCACCAACAAGAAGUGAAAGAAGUAGAAUAUCUGCCUUUUGAUGUGGAUGGGGAUUGUGCCUCCAAAGUUUCAUGCAUAAAAGCACAAAUGAUGAAAGCUGCAAAAGAUGGAAGACCUUGGAAAAAGUGGGUAACAUCAUACAGGGGUAUCUUGUUCCAAGAGAUAAUCAUUGUAUUUUUUCCAGCCUUAAAUGAAAAAUCAGCUGCCAUGACUCAGCGUCUAUAUAAUGCCAGUGUGUAUUAAUAAUUGCCAUCUGAUAUUUUUAAUUUUUCAUUGAAUAAGACUGAUUUAUUAGCACCCAAAAGUAUCAGUUAUUGAUCCAGCCACAUGCUCUUGGGCUGGGCUCCUUUAAUUUUUAAAUAGAUGUUGCAUAUAUUUUAUUAUUAUAAUUAUAAUUUUAUUUUAUUAUAUGCGCCACCCCUGAAUAAGCGCCGCUCUCAAAUAAGCACCGCAUUUGGGUUUAAAAAGUUAUUAAGUGCUGCCCUCGAAUAAGCGCCGCUGUCCUGAUGUGGCACUUAUUCAAGGGAUUCUGUAUAACUAAAUAAAAAACACUACAAAGCAACUCAAAAACAGUAUUAAAAUGAACAAUGAAAAUCAAAGUUAAGUGACGACACCACUAGCAAAGCAAUUCGAAAGGGCCGGGAAAAGACUAAUGAUGACAAUCAAAACACACUUAUGCUUGUUACAUAAAAGUUUCUUACAGAUAGAAAAAUACUGUUAAAUUCAAAGAAAAGAUUUCUUUGUCGUGUUAAAUUGUUAAAUAAGCGCCGCCCUCGAAUAAGUGCCACACUUCAGGGCAAAGCCCUGCUUGAUGUUCUGAACUUUUUUAAGGUUAGUGAGGCCUUUGGCCUGGCUGUAUACCUCUUCAAUGUUUUGCCAUUAUGCAUAGAGCUUUUCAAACAUUCAUAUGGAAAUUGGCUGGGCUUAGAUGCUGAAUUAUUAAGGAAAAAAAAAAACUGUUCAGCUUUGAGCAUAGCAUCAGGUAGUGGAGGUUUGGCUUCACACGUGUGGGUGCCACUAUGGCAAACUAAGACAUGCAAGUUCUCAAACUCCCACACUUUUUUGGCAAAAUAGGGAACAGCUAUAUUUAUAACAUAGCUAAAGCAAAGCGCGCUCUCU